AUGCUGCUGCUGCUGCAGAAAAACCAGCAGCUGCAGAAAAACUCUGCAGAGACUCACAGAGAGAGGAUGGAGGCAGCAGAUGAAGCUGCUGCAGACUGACAGCUGAUGGAACUGAAGCACUUUCUACAUUCUAGUUCCAAAUGUUCUACAGAAUCAAUCAGAGGUUGAAAGUCUUCCUCAGUACUCGAGUACUUUAGUUCAGCAGUUCCUCUUUUCCUCUAAGGUGAAGCUUCAUGUGGACGACUUCUUCUUCUCUCCUCUUUUCUGGAGCUUGGGCUCCAUGCAGUCUGAUCAGCUCUGAUUUGGGCUUCAGUUGAUGUUUGUGAUCAGGAACUCUGGAUUCUUCUUAGAAGGAGACGUUCUGCCUCUUUAGCAGAGAGCAGAACGUUGAUCUGAUCUGUUGGAAGCCACUCCAUCCUGAAGCUGCACUGCUGAGUUCCUGUCCACCAGGGGGCAGUGUUACGGCUUUGCCUGCCUUAUUAUUCUGCUCAUCUGUCAGCUCACCAGGCAUGACCUAGACGGCGCCCUCAUGUGGACGGAUGAACACAUGACAGAGGGGAAGGACAGAGCUGCACAGCAGGGACGAGCAGAGACCUUUGUGUCACGUGGAGUAACAAUAAAAA
Oryzias latipes (Japanese medaka) is the source of this 623-nucleotide non-coding RNA. The record is from RefSeq and is a predicted model, not a curated record. NCBI's taxonomy places the organism in Eukaryota, Metazoa, Chordata, Actinopteri, Beloniformes, Adrianichthyidae.